This 250-nucleotide ribosomal RNA is filed under the name uncultured bacterium. Its description in RNAcentral is "partial 16S ribosomal RNA". It matches the Rfam family "Bacterial small subunit ribosomal RNA", at positions 355 to 598 of the family's 1533-position model. The record is from RNAcentral.
UCGAGAAUUUUUCUCAAUGGGCGCAAGCCUGAAGGAGCGACGCCGCGUGGGGGAUGAAUGGCUUCGGCCCGUAAACCCCUGUCAUUUGUGAACAAACCUUUCAGGUUAACAGCCUGAAAGCUGAUAGUAGCAGAAGAGGAAGGGACGGCUAACUCUGUGCCAGCAGCCGCGGUAAUACAGAGGUCCCAAGCGUUGUUCGGAUUCACUGGGCGUAAAGGGUGCGUAGGUGGCCGGGAAAGUUCGGUGUGAA